UUUAAAAAAAAAAAAAGCGAACCCAGAACAAAGACAGGACAUUGACAAGAGCUAUACUGGGAUCCCAAGCAGUUCCAAGAAUAACUUGCCCUUUCUGUACCUUCCCUUCAAGUUCCAGAAAGCUCUCAAGGUUGUUUGUUUGCCAGAAGGAUGUGCAUGUUCGUGUUUAGUUUUUCAAGUGAUAAAACGGGAAGGGGGGGGGGUUCCAAAGAAGGGCUAGCACUGGACCUUGCAAACAUUAAUAAAUAUUUGUCUAACUGAAUUGAAAUGCUUGUCUAGCCCACCCUCUGGGAGAAGCGCGGCGCCAAUGCGUGAUGUGAAUUUUGAAGCCAAGUUGACUCUGGUAUUAGAUAAACUUUCUGAUCCCAGUUCCUCCUCCCUGUGGCUUUCCACUUCGGCAAGGAAGGGACGAGUGGGGACUGUGAGGAGGGGAAGGGGGGCGGAGAAGGAGAUGGGGGUGUGUGUGUGUGGGGGGGAGUCCUAGCGCCGCGCAGGCGCUUUCCCCACCACCUCUUACCAUCACCCCCCCGCUCCCAAUCCCCUGUCGGGGCUCGGAGCCUCAGCUCCUGUGGGACGCCAAUGCACUUGUAAAGGGAGGGCUGGAGGCAGACACAAAGCCUGGGCCCUCCCCCUCCGUGUCCUCCUCCUCCUCUCUGCUCGGAAGUCCUGCCCUGGUGCUGCGCUGGUGCCAGUCCAGGGCCGAGGCUCUCCUUCUGUCCCACACACCCCCAGCCCAGACCUCUCGACCUGCAGCGAGGGCAGUGCAAGAUUGGAAAGACCAAAAUAAAGUGUGAACUGUACAUAAAGAAGAAUCCAUAUCUACCAAGCCCUCACUGAAGAAGAUAGAGUGGAGUAACUGGUCACAGCUCUGAGGCUAUCCAGGAGUGUGAGUGACACAGGCAAGGAAGAGAGAUGCAGGAAUGAGCAGGUAUGUAAGGAACAGAUUAUGAAACCAAAUUAACUUUGGCCCCAGACCUGGUUUUUGUUGUGAUUGUUAUUUACUUGUUUGUUUGAACUAUUUCUAAAGUGAUAGGGACUGUUAAGUGGUAUGAGUCUUUUGUGGUAGUAUGUCAUUUGCCAGGAUUUAUUUUGGGUUCCCAGAAGUUAAUUAUUAGCAUGAGCCAUUUUUCUCAGUCUGCCCAGAGACCUUGUUAAUUUUGACAUUUCCAGACAUAAUGGUUUUGCGGCUCGCUUGUUGGUGAGGUAGUGAGAUAAAGAGACAAUUCAUAAGUCUCAGAAACAUGAAAAAAUUUAGGUAGUAAGUUUUUUUCUGAGAGAAG
Molecule: long non-coding RNA, 1280 nt
Filed under: Phascolarctos cinereus (koala)
Lineage: Eukaryota; Metazoa; Chordata; Mammalia; Diprotodontia; Phascolarctidae
Description: lncRNA (ENSPCIG00000036096.1)
Source: RNAcentral